Molecule: ribosomal RNA, 300 nt
Filed under: uncultured Thermogemmatispora sp.
Lineage: Bacteria; Bacillati; Chloroflexota; Ktedonobacteria; Thermogemmatisporales; Thermogemmatisporaceae
Description: bacterial SSU rRNA
Rfam family: Bacterial small subunit ribosomal RNA
Source: RNAcentral
GGGCAGUGAGUGCGAGGAGCCGCGGGAAUACGGAAGGUGAUGUCGGUAUCGGGGUGUAUUGGGGUUAAAGGGGUGGUAGGCCGGAGAUGAAGCGUGUGGGGAAAUGUAGACGCUCAACGUCUGCACUGCAGCGCGAACUGGUGUCCUGGAGUACGCACAAAGUGGGCGGAAUUCGUGGUGUAGCGGUGAAAUGCUUAGAUAUCACGAAGAACUCCGAUUGCGAAGGCAGCUGACGGUAGCGCAACUGACGCUGAGGUUCGAAAGUGCGGGUAUCGAACAGGAUUAGAUACCCCAGUAGUC